UACGUAGGGUGCAAGCGUUAAUCGGAAUUACUGGGCGUAAAGCGUGCGCAGGCGGUUCUAUAAGACAGAUGUGAAAUCCCCGGGCUCAACCUGGGAACUGCAUUUGUGACUGUAGAGCUGGAGUGCGGGCAGAGGGGGAUGGAAUUCCGCGUGGUAGCAGUGAAAUGCGUAGAUAUGCGGAGGAACACCGAUGGCGAAGGCAA
Molecule: ribosomal RNA, 203 nt
Filed under: uncultured bacterium
Lineage: Bacteria
Description: partial 16S ribosomal RNA
Rfam family: Bacterial small subunit ribosomal RNA
Source: RNAcentral